UGUGGUAUAUGCUAACCUAAUGAGACUGAAGUGCAACUGGCCCCAAGAUAGUCUGAGUUCUGCGCAAUGAACUAACCAUUCAAGUUGUCCAAAACGCUUUAUUUACGUUUUGCAAAGAUAUGGAUGAGUCAACGUCAUUGGAUAUCGAGGCCCUGAAGGUAAGGACCUUGUUUCCGGGUACCACUAAAGGCCACAGUCUUCAGCCAGGCAGCUUGAAGAUGUCACCAUUCCUUCAAACCGCACACACGGAGACAUAGAAAUGGUAUCCACCAGUUCAUCUGACUCUGUGAAAGUA
This 295-nucleotide long non-coding RNA is filed under the name Salmo salar (Atlantic salmon). RNAcentral describes it as "lncRNA (ENSSSAG00000109380.1)". The record is from RNAcentral. Lineage: Eukaryota; Metazoa; Chordata; Actinopteri; Salmoniformes; Salmonidae.